Molecule: ribosomal RNA, 491 nt
Filed under: uncultured bacterium
Lineage: Bacteria
Description: partial 16S ribosomal RNA
Rfam family: Bacterial small subunit ribosomal RNA
Source: RNAcentral
GAUUGAACGCUGGCGGCAGGCCUACCACAUGCAAGUCGAACGGUAACAGGAAGCAGCUUGCUGCUUUGCUGACGAGUGGCGGACGGGUGAGUAAUGUCUGGGAAACUGCCCGAUGGAGGGGGAUAACUACUGGAAACGGUAGCUAAUACCGCAUAACGUCGCAAGACCAAAGAGGGGGACCUUAGGGCCUCUUGCCAUCGGAUGUGCCCAGAUGGGAUUAGCUAGUAGGUGGGGUAACGGCUCACCUAGGCGACGAUCCCUAGCUGGUCUGAGAGGAUGACCCGCCACACGGGAACUGAGACACGGUCCAGACUCCUACGGGAGGCAGCAGUGGGGAAUAUUGCACAAUGGGCGAAAGCCUGAUGCAGCCAUGCCGCGUGUAUGAAGAAGGCCUUCGGGUUGUAAAGUACUUUCAGCGGGGAGGAAGGGAGUAAAGUUAAUACCUUUGCUCAUUGACGUUACCCGCAGAAGAAGCACCGGCUAACUCCGUG